Octopus sinensis (East Asian common octopus) is the source of this 227-nucleotide long non-coding RNA. RefSeq lists it as uncharacterized. The transcript is spliced from 2 exons. The record is from RefSeq and is a predicted model, not a curated record. Lineage: Eukaryota; Metazoa; Mollusca; Cephalopoda; Octopoda; Octopodidae.
CCUAUCUCGUGUCCGUUGUGAAUGCUUUGUGCGUGAAUUUCUUUUUGUCAGCUUUUAAUACGUUUUAUAAUUAUUAUAAAACGUAUUUGUAAUUUAUUUCUCAACUCUCAGAUACACACAUAUAACAACGCUAUCCUUUAUGAAGCAUUUCCAACAUCAGACAACAUUGACAUAACAGAAGAAACAUCCUCAACAUCUACCACGUUUCAAAGACUAAAAGAAAAUAU